RNAcentral lists this long non-coding RNA (1291 nucleotides) under Oryctolagus cuniculus (rabbit). Its description in RNAcentral is "lncRNA (ENSOCUG00000036977.1)". The record is from RNAcentral. Lineage: Eukaryota; Metazoa; Chordata; Mammalia; Lagomorpha; Leporidae.
UUCCUUUGCCGUUGGUUCACCCCGCAAUGGCCGCUUUGGCUGAUGCGCUGCGGCCAGUGCACUGCGCUGAUCUGAGCCAGGAGCCAGGUGCCUCUCCUGGUCUCCCAUGGGGUGCAGGGCCCAAGCACUUGGGCCAUCCUCCACUGCACUCCCUGGCCACAGCAGAGAGCUGGCCUGGAAGAGGGGCAACCGGGACAGAAUCCGGCGCCCCGACUGGGACUAGAACCCAGUGUGCCGGUGCCGCAGGCGGAGGAUUAGCCUAGUGAGCCGUGGCGUUGGCCACUGAAUCAUUAUUUUUAAACAGAGUAAGAAACUGAGUCUCAGGAAGCCCGUGCGCUGUGACGUGAAAGCCAAGCCACGAUGAUGCACUCUCUCUCUUGCUUGUGCACGAGUCUUAGAGCCCUAAACCCCAGCAGGAGUCCCCUAGGCUGGUCCUGCUGCGCUCAUACAGGCUACCUGGGAAGGAAAGUUCCAGAAGUGAAGAGACUAAAACCCCAUGGAAGGUUGGGCUGGAAGUCAGACACGUGCUGGAUCUUCUCCCUCUUCUUAGACCACCCACAUCCUGCGGUCCAUCCUGGUGACCCUGGACCUGCUCCAGUUAAGGUUUCAGAGUCUCUGUGCUGUUGGCAGUUCAUAUCAAUUCUUCUUUUUUUUUUAAUUUAGGUUUUAAAGAUUUCUUUAUUUGACAGCCAGAGGCAAAGGCAGAGGCAGAAAGAGGAAAGGCCUUCCAUUUGCUGGUUCACUCCCCAAAUGGCCACAAUGGCCACAAUGGCCACAUCUGGGCGGAUCCAAAGCCUGGAUCCUGAGCCUCUUCUGGGUCUCCCAUGUGGGUUCAGGGGCCCAAGGACUUGGGCCAUCUUCCACUGCUUUCCCAGGCACAUUAGCAGGGAACUGGAUCAGAAAUGGAGCAGCUAGGACUUGAACCAACGCCCAUAUGGGAUGUUAGCACAGCAGGUGGCAGCUUUACCUGCUAUGCCACAGCGUUGUCCCCAUGAAUGGUAUUUUAAACCAUGAGAAGAUAACAAAGGGGGAAAAUUGAGAUAGAGCUUUCAAACAUAGUGAUAACUACCAAAAGCAGAAGAAAAUGGAGACUAUUGGAUGCACACCAUUUAAAUGUAUUAAAAUCACAUAUACAUAGAAAACAACUUCGCAUAUUUUGUAAGUCAAUAUGCAUUAGGGUCAUAUAUCAUUAGGGUGCCCAUAGGGGAGGAGAUUGGGACCAGGGACUGGGAUGAAUGGGGGCAUGGAAGAGAUCAAUAAAAAGUUGAUAAUGAUGACGUGCUGAGACCUG